GGGUGCGAUCAUACCAGCACUAAUACACCGGAUCCUAUCAGAACUACGAAGUUAAACGUGCUUGGGCGAGAGUAGUACUAAGACGGGUGACCUCUUGGGAAGUCCUCGUGUUGCACCCC
Ricinus communis (castor bean) is the source of this 119-nucleotide non-coding RNA. Lineage: Eukaryota; Viridiplantae; Streptophyta; Magnoliopsida; Malpighiales; Euphorbiaceae. The record is from Rfam.